UUUGAAAAACGACUCAUUCUUUGCUUUUCAAAAUUUGCUAUAGAAUGAGGCAAUUAGUUUAGAACAUCACAUGCCUGCCAAUAUGACAUUUUUGUUAGAAUAAACUUAGUCACGAUAUUAUUAUACAUAAUCAAAAUAAACUUUAAUGUAUUAGACAUCAUUAAUGCUACAAUGAUCAACCGGACUUGUUUGUGGAUUACUUGAUUAAGGUAUGGAGCCUUACUUAUCUCUACUUUUUCUUUUUUUCUUUUUUUUGGUUUUUCGAAUGUCUAUAAAAUACAAUGAUACCAUAGUAGAAGAUAGUUUAUGCAAUUAUGCUCCUCCCAUUAUAUUAAGGGAAAAAUUGCACUUAAAAGAGAAAGAACGCUUUUCAUGUGAGUUUACCAUCCAGUUAAGAAACAAGGUUGGGUUCUCCUGUCUCUUUAUUUGCCAUUCGCAAGUUUUAAUUGCAUUCAGAUCAAUAAAGAAUCAUGACACAAAAACCUUUUUUUUUUUAAAAAAAAAGAAGCUAUAAUUGAAAUUAUUAAUUAAAUGUUGAUUUUUUUUACACCAUGUAUUUAUGUAAAAGACACUUAUGCUGUGUUUAUUUUCUGGAGUGGGAGUGAGGAGUACGGAUUCCUCCCACUCCAGUGUUUACUUCACUAAAUUUGGGAGGAAUUGGGAAUCCCGCUCCGUGGGUCUCACCUAUUUUUAGCGUGGGGAGUGGGAGUGGAAAUAAAAUAAAAUAAAUAAUAUUAUAUUUAUUUGAAUAAUA
Molecule: long non-coding RNA, 754 nt
Filed under: Citrus x clementina
Lineage: Eukaryota; Viridiplantae; Streptophyta; Magnoliopsida; Sapindales; Rutaceae
Description: Citrus clementina (C. clementina) long non-coding RNA (CCLE_LNC004702)
Source: RNAcentral